UUUGAUGCAAGUUGUAACACGAGCAAUGGUAGAGAUGCAGGGGUGUAACAUGGGCAUUGGCCUGGAUGCAAGGAUGUGACACAUACAUUAGUUAGCAUUGACACAAGGUGUGUGUUGUGGGUAUACUCCUUAUGGUGGAGUAUGAUAGUUCUUUUGAACUAGGAUUGUCGAAGUAGACAAUGGUGGUAGCGGUUGAGGCUUUCUAAGGAAGCUCAAAGGUUCAGUUUGACUGAGUAUUAAAGAAGACGAUUGUUGGUGAACUUUUUUGUAUAGAGGUUCCAAUAUAUCGAAAGACUUCCUAGCAAUAGGUGGCUAGGCGGCGUGUUCCAUUUGAUGGCGGUACGGGAAGCUGCACUAUAAGUUUGGAGAGCUAGGCUCUUGAUAGCAUCGUCAAUGAUACUCAGAAGGUCUAUGUUGUAGGGGAGC
Molecule: long non-coding RNA, 426 nt
Filed under: Lupinus angustifolius (narrow-leaved blue lupine)
Lineage: Eukaryota; Viridiplantae; Streptophyta; Magnoliopsida; Fabales; Fabaceae
Description: long non-coding RNA (LANG_LNC001055)
Source: RNAcentral